GCCUAAAGCGUCCGUAGCCGGCUCUGUUAGUUUUCGGUUAAAUCUAUAUGCUCAACAUAUAGGCUGCCGGGAAUACUACAAAGCUAGGGAGUGGGAGAGGUAGACGGUACUCCGUAGGAAGGGGUAAAAUCCUUUGAUCUAUGGAUGACCACCAGUGGCGAAGGCGGUCUACCAGAACACGUUCGACGGUGAGGGAUGAAAGCUGGGGGAGCAAACCGGAUUAGAUACCCGGGUAGUCCCAGCUGUAAACUAUGCAAACUCAGUGAUGCAUUGGCUUGUGGCCAGUGCAGUGCCGCAGAGAAGUCGUUAAGUUUGCCGCCUGGGAAGUACGUACGCAAGUAUGAAACUUAAAGGAAUUGGCGGGGGAGCACCACAAGGGGUGAAGCCUGCGGUUCAAUUGGAGUCAACGCCAGAAAUCUUACCCGGAGAGACAGCAGAAUGAAGGUCAAGCUGAAGACUUUACCAGACAAGCUGAGAAGUGGUGCAUGGCCGUCGCCAGCUCGUGCCGUGAGGUGUCCUGUUAAGUCAGGUAACGAGCGAGAUCCUUGCCUCUAGUUGCCACCAUUACUCUCAGGAGUAGUGGGGCGAAUUAGCGGGACUGCCGUAGUUAAUACGGAGGAAGGUGAGGGCCACGGCAGGUCAGUAUGCCCCGAA
This 654-nucleotide ribosomal RNA is filed under the name uncultured archaeon. Its description in RNAcentral is "bacterial SSU rRNA". It matches the Rfam family "Archaeal small subunit ribosomal RNA", at positions 508 to 1160 of the family's 1478-position model. The record is from RNAcentral.